AUGUGUUAUUAUAUUAUUACUAAUGCACUAGAUCUUAUCAAAACUUUGUAGUUAAUCAUGUUUGGAUGAUAGUAGUAUUAGGAUGGAUAAUAUCCUAGGAAGUCUUCAUGUUGUACUUU
Glycine max (soybean) is the source of this 119-nucleotide non-coding RNA. The record is from Rfam. Lineage: Eukaryota; Viridiplantae; Streptophyta; Magnoliopsida; Fabales; Fabaceae.